CGGAAUGGAUAAGCGCUGAAAGCAUCUAAGCGCGAAGCCAACUUCAAGAUAAGAUUUCCCACCGCAAGGGUAAGACCCCAGAAAGACUAACUGGUUGAUAGGUCGAAGGUGUAAGUGCAGCAAUGUAUUUAGCUUAUCGAUACUAAUAGGUCGAGGACUUGACCAAU
Molecule: ribosomal RNA, 167 nt
Filed under: Clostridioides difficile
Lineage: Bacteria; Bacillati; Bacillota; Clostridia; Peptostreptococcales; Peptostreptococcaceae
Description: partial 23S ribosomal RNA
Rfam family: Bacterial large subunit ribosomal RNA
Source: RNAcentral